GCGGGGCUCAAGCACACCACCGAAGACGCGGCAGCGGCCUUUGCGGCCGUUGGGUAGGAGAGCGUCCCGCGUGGGGCGAAGCGGCCGGGGAACCGUGCCGUGGACCGCGCGGGAGUGAGAAUGCAGACAUGAGUAGCGAGAGACGGGUGAGGAUCCCGUCCGCUGGAUGACCAAGGGUUCCGGGGCCACGUUCGUCGUCCCCGGGUGAGUCGGGUCCUAAGGCGAGGCCGACAGGCGUAGUCGAAUGGAUGAACGGGUGGAUAUUCCCGUACCGGCGGCGUACCGUAAGAGCCGAACGGAUGAGUACUAACCUCCGGUCGCGUGGCGUCGUUCCCUUCGGGGUUCGGGGUCCGCGGUCGUUGGGAGCGUAGUCCCGGUAGGCUAGCGCACAGGGGUGACACGGAAUGGGAGCCGGCCGCGGAGGUGGUUUUCCGUGGUCAAGCACGCAGCCCGUCCCAUAGGCAAAUCCGUGGGACGCAUAGGGUGAGGUGUGAUGAUGGGCGUCCUUUGGACGCGAUAUCCGGUGGUCCAGGCCGUCGAGAAAAGCCUCGGCGCGAGGGGCGUCGCCGCCCGUACCCCAAACCGACACUGGUGGUCAGGUAGAGAAUACCAAGGCGAUCGAGCGAAUCCUGGUCAAGGAACUCGGCAAAUCACUCCCGUGCCUUCGGUAUAAGGGAGACCCCCUGGCGUGAAGAGGCUUGCCCUCGGAGCGUUGGGGGGUGGCACAGACCAGGGGGUAGCGACUGUUUACCAAAAACACAGGUGCAUGCGAAGGCGCAAGCCGCUGUAUAUGCACUGACGCCUGCCCGGUGCCGGAAGGUUAAGAGGAUCCGUCAGCCCUCGGGCGAAGCGGUGAAUUCAAGCCCCGGUAAACGGCGGUGGUAACUAUAACCAUCCUAAGGUAGCGAAAUUCCUUGUCGGGUAAGUUCCGACCUGCACGAAUGGCGUAACGACUUCCCCACUGUCUCGACCAGGAGCUCGGCGAAAUUGCAGUACGAGUAAAGAUGCUCGUUAAGCGCAGAAGGACGAAAAGACCCCGGGACCUUUACUAUACCUUGGUAUUGGCGUUAGGCGCGGAUUGUGUAGCAUAGGCGGGAGGCUUCGAAGCAUGGGCGCCAGCCCGUGUGGAGCCGCAAGGUGAAAUACCGCUCUGUUCUCGUUUGACGUCUAACCUCGAACAGUCAUCCUGUUCAGGGACAGUGCCUGGCGGGUAGUUUAACUGGGGCGGUUGCCUCCCAAAGAGUAACGGAGGCGCUCAAAGGUCCGCUCAGCCCGGUUGGCAAUCGGGUUUCGAGUGUAAUCGCACAAGCGGGCUUGACUGCGAGAACGACGGUUCGGGCAGGGACGAAAGUCGGAGAUAGUGAUCCGGUGCCGGCGCACGGGCGCGGCAUCGCUCAACGGAUAAAAGGUACCCCGGGGAUAACAG
Molecule: ribosomal RNA, 1426 nt
Filed under: human gut metagenome
Description: bacterial LSU rRNA
Rfam family: Bacterial large subunit ribosomal RNA
Source: RNAcentral